ACGAAGGGUGCAAGCGUUACUCGGAAUUACAGGGCGUAAAGCGUGCGUAGGUGGUUGUUUAAGUCUGUCGUGAAAGCCCCGGGCUCAACCUGGGAAUGGCGAUGGAUACUGGCGAGCUAGAGUGUGUCAGAGGAUGGUGGAAUUCCCGGUGUAGCGGUGAAAUGCGUAGAGAUGUGGAGGAACACCGAUGGCGAAGCCAGCCCCCUGGGCCAAUACUGACGCUCAUGCACGAAAGCGUGGGGAGCAAACAGGA
RNAcentral lists this ribosomal RNA (253 nucleotides) under uncultured prokaryote. Its description in RNAcentral is "partial 16S ribosomal RNA". It matches the Rfam family "Bacterial small subunit ribosomal RNA", at positions 525 to 777 of the family's 1533-position model. The record is from RNAcentral.